UACGUAGGGUGCAAGCGUUUGUCCGGAAUUAUUGGGCGUAAAGAGCUCGUAGGCGGUUUGUCGCGUCUGCUGUGAAAACGCGAGGCUCAACCUCGCGCCUGCAGUGGGUACGGGCAGACUAGAGUGCGGUAGGGGAGAUUGGAAUUCCUGGUGUAGCGGUGGAAUGCGCAGAUAUCAGGAGGAACACCGAUGGCGAAGGCAGAUCUCUGGGCCGUUACUGACGCUGAGGAGCGAAAGCAUGGGGGAGCGAACAGG
RNAcentral lists this ribosomal RNA (255 nucleotides) under uncultured bacterium. RNAcentral describes it as "partial 16S ribosomal RNA". It matches the Rfam family "Bacterial small subunit ribosomal RNA", at positions 524 to 776 of the family's 1533-position model. The record is from RNAcentral.